This 2836-nucleotide long non-coding RNA is filed under the name Lytechinus variegatus (green sea urchin). RNAcentral describes it as "uncharacterized LOC121429742, transcript variant X3". The record is from RNAcentral. Lineage: Eukaryota; Metazoa; Echinodermata; Echinoidea; Temnopleuroida; Toxopneustidae.
CUCAAGCAGCUCAUCCGUUGUGCUCUAUAGACUGAAGAGAAAAUUUACCAAGAUUUCCGUUUUAAGUGCAACAAGCUUCAUUUAAACUGAGCAAGAGACAAUUCAAGACUUCUUGACGACCAAUGGUGCAAGGAAUGAUGAGUGCAGUGUCAGAUGUCAACAACACAACUGUCAUAUAACAUGCGGAAGUGAUUUAUCUUAACAUCUGUUUGUGGACUUGGAGUUGGAAGUAACCAGUCUUCUCAGAUUAGUUCAGGCAUGGUCCAUGGUUCAGAAUCUGUGAUUUGUUUGCAACUUCAAAGGCUAUUCUCAUCUUGACUUGUGGCUUGCAUCUCAAAGUUAUCUCUUCAAGACAACAGAUCUGAAAAUGUGGUUGCCAUUCUUCAAGAUAUUUUGCUUCCACCAUCACUUAAGGUGAACUUCUUCCUCAUCUUUGGCCGCUUCUUCUUCUCUGUGAAAAUGUGCUUAUCCAAAGCAGUGCUCUGGACUUCAUUCAACCUUCAGUGGAUGCUGACACACCUUUUCCAACCAUCCACCAGUUGUGCCAUGAAACCGGAUCAUCCCUGUACAAAGCCUAUGGGAAUGACUGAAUUGAGAAGUCUGCAUAGAGGUGCCGUCUACUAAAACCUGGUGGUCCCUGACCAAAGCCUACAUUUAAAGUCCAGUAGCCAAGCACACACAGGUUUCCGAGAACAACUUUGUACAUAGGAUGAGUGUUUCAUGGAUAGUAUUCCAGUCUACGCUCAGCAUGGCUUUCUUGACUCCAGACACCCUCCUGCCAGACAUUGCUGUGGAUACCAUCUAUUCUCUUCAUGUCUUAACCAAGAAAGACUAUUACAGUCUCUAGAAUCCUGCAGAAACCAUCAGGUGAAGUUCACCAGAGGAUCAAGAAAUUGAUGGCAUCUCUCCACUGUAAUUGCUUGAUAUCAACAUCCAUGUCGCAGUCACUCUAGGAGCACCCAAGCAUGCCUACUUGAGUUUCCAACUGUCUUAAUUGUUUCAAGGGCAAUUAGCAAGGGAUGACCUUUACAGGAGAUCUGUGCUUCCCACUCUUCCUUAUCACAACACUGGGAAAAUUGAGCAGUCACCAUGGCAACUCUUCCAUUAUUCGGACCUGUUCCAAACAGAACUGCAGCAAUUGCUGAAGACCCUCUGGUGGAACUAUCUGUGGCUGGACUCUAUUGACUAGUUGACUGGAGGAACUGGCUAGGCGCAUCAUUUCAUCUUCUUUGUUUGGUGUGAGAUAGCCGUUUUUCAGCCAAACAAGCAAGAAACACUGGCGAUUUAAAUUGUACUGUCCUACCGGUGUGAACUUCAGAAGGUUCAGAAGAUACGUAUGAGGCACAGUGCAACAGUCUUUUGAGGUACCAUUGUAAUGUACAUGAAGCAUAAGAUAUAAAUCCUCUGUAAGAGGAAUCAAUCCAUUAGAUUUAAUAUUGAUAUCAAAGGAAGCCAAAAGGGACCAAAACGAAAUGGGUGAAAUAAUUUUAUGAGAAUAAAACGACUUGAACAAUUUAAAACAAGUUUCAUCUUUAACAGGUGAUGAAAUAAAGAGUUACGGACAUGGAAAGUCUUGGGUCACUUUCUCUGAGGAUACUCAAUUUGACAAACGAGUUUAAACUACUGGUAUUUGAUUUGGUGGAUAAUUCUCUGUUUGUUCUGUACAGAGUUUUUUAGAUUCUCACUUUAUAUAUUUUCUUAUCUCUUUUUUAACUUGAUGGUUAAGGGGAAUUAUAUUUUUCCAUGGCAUAUGUUAUACCUUGAUGGAUGCAAGGUGUGAUUGUGAUAGACCAUGGAGAAAAUCUUUAAAAUGACAAGUAAAAAGAGUUUGAAAUAAGAAUUGUUAGAUUUUUAUAGGGGUGUGUCUAUAUUUUUAGAAAUUUAAUUCUAUAUUUCUUUUUUGAAGAAACCAUCUUUUUUCAUGAAUAAAAUGUGUAUAAAUUUUUUUUCUUUCAUUCCAGGGGCCUGUAACACAAAGCGUAGCAAUGAUCGUACGACAUUUUUCUAAGAAUGAUUCCAUUGACUACAAUAUGUAAGUUGGAAAUCAAGCAUACGAUUAAUCGCCAACCUUUGUGUUACCGGACCCUGGUACUAUUUUCUUUUUCUCUAUUUUUUACAUAACCUAAUGAUGUUAGAGCAAUUAUGAGCUGGCCUUUUACUUUUUCUUCUUAAAUAUUAAGUUAACAUUGUCACAGGAUAGAUUUGAGCAAACCUUGUGGCGAGGAUCUUUUGACUGCAGUGUAUGGUCCACAUACCCACAGAAUCUUGUGAACUUGUUAACAGAAUACUAAUCACACAAAUAAUUAGGUUUAAGAAAAACUUCAUUUUUCUUCUCUGAUUCUUGUUUUUUUUUCUUGAGUGCCCUGACGAUAAAUAUCUGUCUGACAUCUGCUCCUGUCUCUGGAUAGACCAAUUAUUCCGCUCUGUCUCUUUAACUCCGGUUACAGUUCUAUUGACCCUUAUUCCAUCAACCUACUUCCCCUACGUAAGUCCUCGCCCCCUAUUCCCCAGACUCCCAUGAACACAUUUCUGAGAUCCACAUGAUAAAGUUGAAAUGCUGCCCCAAACAAGGGUAAUUUGUGUUCAAAUUUGCUUAAACGACCAAAACUGGUCAUGGUUGAUCAUUAAUUUAUCACAACACCCUUAACUUUGCAAGUUCCAAAGGAUUUGCCUCUCAAAAACUGACAGAAAUUGGAAGGCUAAUUCCAACCCAGCCAAAUUUUCACACCCUUUGUUUCAGUUGGCAGUGCUUGCUCAAGCAUGAUAGUUUUUGUCUCACCUGCAUAGCAGAGUGAGACUAUAGGCGCCGCUAUUUUCCGACGGCGGCACCGUCAAC